UACGUAGGGUGCGAGCGUUAAUCGGAAUUACUGGGCGUAAAGCGUGCGUAGGCGGUUCUCCAAGUCCGUUGUGAAAGCCCCGGGCUCAACCUGGGAAUGGCAGUGGAAACUAGGGGACUGGAAUCUGGCAGAGGGGGGUGGAAUGCCGCGUGUAGCAGUGAAAUGCGUAGAGAUGCGGCGGAACACCGAUGGCGAAGGCAAUCCCCUGGGCCUGCACUGACGCUCAUGCACGAAAGCGUGGGGAGCGAUCCGG
RNAcentral lists this ribosomal RNA (253 nucleotides) under uncultured bacterium. Its description in RNAcentral is "partial 16S ribosomal RNA". It matches the Rfam family "Bacterial small subunit ribosomal RNA", at positions 524 to 776 of the family's 1533-position model. The record is from RNAcentral.